This 289-nucleotide ribosomal RNA is filed under the name uncultured bacterium. RNAcentral's name for it is "partial 16S ribosomal RNA". It matches the Rfam family "Bacterial small subunit ribosomal RNA", at positions 773 to 1060 of the family's 1533-position model. The record is from RNAcentral.
GUGGAUUAGAUACCCUGGUAGUCCAUGCCGUAAACGUUGGGCACUAGGUGUGGGGGCCAUUCCACGGUUUCCGCGCCGCAGCUAACGCAUUAAGUGCCCCGCCUGGGGAGUACGGCCGCAAGGCUAAAACUCAAAGGAAUUGACGGGGGCCCGCACAAGCGGCGGAGCAUGCGGAUUAAUUCGAUGCAACGCGAAGAACCUUACCAAGGCUUGACAUGUGCCGGACCGUCCCAGAGAUGGGGCUUCCCUUCGGGGCCGGUUCACAGGUGGUGCACGGUCGUCGACAACU